GUAGGUGGCAAGCGUUGUCCGGAAUUAUUGGGCGUAAAGCGCGCGCAGGCGGUCCUUUAAGUCUGAUGUGAAAGCCCACGGCUCAACCGUGGAGGGUCAUUGGAAACUGGGGGACUUGAGUACAGAAGAGGAAAGCGGAAUUCCAAGUGUAGCGGUGAAAUGCGUAGAGAUUUGGAGGAACACCAGUGGCGAAGGCGGCUUUCUGGUCUGUAACUGACGCUGAGGCGCGAAAGCGUGGGGAGCAAACAGGGAUUAGAUACCCUGGUAGUCCACGCCGUAAACGAUGAGUGCUAAGUGUUAGGGGGUUUCCCGCCCCUUAGUGCUGCAGCUAACGCAUUAAGCACUCCGCCUGGGGGAUACGGCCCGCAAGGCUG
Molecule: ribosomal RNA, 374 nt
Filed under: uncultured organism
Description: partial 16S ribosomal RNA
Rfam family: Bacterial small subunit ribosomal RNA
Source: RNAcentral